AUGUUCAGCUGCCCCAGGCUUCAUUCCAGAAGUGUGCCAAGGAGAUGGGAAGCCAGCACCCAUGAACCCAAGAGGAGCCCUGGUCAAGGAAAAGGUCUUGCUUUUAUCAUUGCUUUGGGUCUCAUUGAUCCCUGGCUUUGUGGACUCAAGGGAAAACUGAAUCCAAGAUAUUUCAUAGCUGGCCAAAGUUACAAGCUCAGAUCCCAUUGUUGUUGGAUAUUGAAUUCUAAUUCAGGUAAUUAAAUUUAUUGAUUGCCCUUUUUACUUUAGGAGAGACCUUAUCAAAUUCAUCAUAUAUUGGCUGAAAGUGUCUCAAUAUUUUCUACUUUGUUAUUGCCUGUAAUCCCAGCACUCUGGGAGGCCGAGGCAGGUGGAUCGUUAGGUCAGGAGAUUGAUACCAUACUGGCCAACAUGGUGAAACCCUGCCUCUAUUAAAAAUACAAAAAUUAGCUGGGCAUCGUGGCACGUGCCUGUAAUUUCAGCUACUUGGGAGCUUGAGGCAGGAGAAUCGCUUGAACCAGGGAGUUAGAAGUUGCAGUGAGCAGAGAUUAUGCCCCUGUACUCCAGCCUGGUGACAGAGCAAGACUCGUCUCAAAAAAAAAAAAAAAAAAAUUGUUACACAACAAACCACAUUUGUUUUUCGGUUUGCUUUGCUACAACAAAUUGCAGUCACCAUGCAUCACGAAAUGUAUGACAUACUUUCUUCCAGUCUUUUUUGUCUUUACCUUUCCAAUUGUGGUACUAGUUAUUACAGUUUCACUCAAUUCUGUAUCAAUAAUAUGCCUU
Callithrix jacchus (white-tufted-ear marmoset) is the source of this 786-nucleotide long non-coding RNA. NCBI's taxonomy places the organism in Eukaryota, Metazoa, Chordata, Mammalia, Primates, Cebidae. The record is from Ensembl.